UACGGGGGGGGCAAGCGUUGUUCGGAAUUCCUGGGCGUAAAGGGCCCGUAGGCGGCCAACUAAGUCGGAUGUGAAAUCCCCAGGCUUAACCUGGGAACUGCAUCCGAUACUGGAUGGCUUGAAUUCGGGAGAGGGAUGCAGAAUUCCAGGUGUAGCGGUGAAAUGCGUAGAUAUCUGGAGGAAUACCGGUGGCGAAGGCGGCAUCCUGGACCGACAUUGACGCUGAACGGCGAAAGCUAGGGGAGCAAACGGG
This 253-nucleotide ribosomal RNA is filed under the name uncultured bacterium. RNAcentral's name for it is "partial 16S ribosomal RNA". It matches the Rfam family "Bacterial small subunit ribosomal RNA", at positions 524 to 776 of the family's 1533-position model. The record is from RNAcentral.